AUAGAAUAAUUAAAACUAAAACUAAGAAAUUAAAAAAAUUAAUAUUAAAAUUUUAAAAAAAUCUGAAAUAAAAAGAGAGAGAGAGAGUGAACAAUAAUCGGGGAUGGAGGUGGGGCGCCGCCGCCGCCCACUACUCCAACUGAAGUCGCCGGUAGGCUCACACUUUAUUUUCCUUUUUGUUUUUUUUUUUUUUUGGAUAGGUACACCUUAUUUUCCUAUGUAAUUAAGGAGUUGAAUGAAUAUAUAUAUGGAUGGAAGGCGAGUCUACUGUCUCUUGAGGGGGGUCGUGUUUUUAUGGUUGAUUCUAUCCUUCCCUCCAUACCUUCCCACAUAAUGCAAUGCACCCUCUUGCCCCAUGAUGCCUCUGAGACUCGCUCUCUGAAUUAUCCUCCUUUGGAACCACAUAUUUCCAUAAGCUCUCUGGUUACUAUGGAAACAAAGAAACAAGAGAAUCUUGGAGAGUGUCCCUCCCCAACCUCAACUGUUGCAUCGCAAGUGCAUAGAGCAAGCAGCUGAGUUUUUUGCCUUGCAAAAACAUUCCAUCACUUCCCACAAGACAACCAUCUUUCGGUGGCUUCCCCCAUGAUAAUUGGUUGAAACUCAACACUGAUGGCUCCGCUAGAGGCUGCCCGGGAUGUGAAGGAGCGGGAGGCCUUUUCAGAAACCAUGCAGAUGGCUGAAUCGAGGGUUUUAGUCAAUUCCUCUGGGAACUGGGAGCAACAUCACAGCUGAGGCUUGGGCUCUUUGGGAUGGACUUCCGAUGGCACUCGACAUGGGCAUCCAAUUCCUUAUAGCGGAGUUUGAUGCCAAGAAUCUCAUACGGCGCUUCGUCGGCUUUAGGAUGCAGCAUACUUAUCGGGAAGCCAACUCCAUAGCUGACUACCUUGCAAGGCUAGCUUCUAAUUAACUCUAUUGAUAGCCCCUACCAUGACUCACGAUAUUAUGUACUUUAAUUCACCUCCCGCUGAGGUGGCUAAUCUCCUUUUGGCUGA
Punica granatum (pomegranate) is the source of this 992-nucleotide non-coding RNA. The record is from RefSeq and is a predicted model, not a curated record. NCBI's taxonomy places the organism in Eukaryota, Viridiplantae, Streptophyta, Magnoliopsida, Myrtales, Lythraceae.